CUUAAAUAAAUUGACGGGGGCGCGCACAAGCGGUGGAUGAUGUGGAUUAAUUCGAUGCAACGCGAAAAACCUUACCUACCCUUGACAUGUCUGGAAUGCCGAAGAGAUUUGGCAGUGCUCGCAAGAGAACCGGAACACAGGUGCUGCAUGGCUGUCGUCAGCUCGUGUCGUGAGAUGUUGGGUUAAGUCCCGCAACGAGCGCAACCCUUGUCAUUAGUUGCUACGAAAGGGCACUCCAAUGAGACUGCCGGUGACAAACCGGAGGAAGGUGGGGAUGACGUCAAGUCCUCAUGGCCCUUAUGGGUAGGGCUUCGCACGUCAUACAAUGGUCGGGACAGAGGGUCGCCAACCCGCGAGGGGGAGCUAAUCCCAGAAACCCGAUCGUAGUCCGGAUCGCAGUCUGCAACUCGACUGCGUGAAGUCGGAAUCGCUAGUAAUCGCGGAUCAGCAUGUCGCGGUGAAUACGUUCCCGGGCCUUGUACACACCGCCCG
Molecule: ribosomal RNA, 492 nt
Filed under: uncultured bacterium
Lineage: Bacteria
Description: bacterial SSU rRNA
Rfam family: Bacterial small subunit ribosomal RNA
Source: RNAcentral